RNAcentral lists this long non-coding RNA (1376 nucleotides) under Dicentrarchus labrax (European seabass). RNAcentral describes it as "lncRNA (ENSDLAG00005016934.2)". Lineage: Eukaryota; Metazoa; Chordata; Actinopteri; Moronidae. The record is from RNAcentral.
GAUUGUUUUAACUUUAUAUGCUUUGUUCAACGUGAAUUGAAAGUGAUUGUGGAUGAUGUGGUUCACAGAGUACAAUGAGUCUGUGUAGCUGCUUUGGAUUCUUGCUGUUUGUCCUCCACAAUCUCCCAGGCACCACAGAGGAUUUCUUCCUAGAUUCGUCUCAUUCUGCUUUUCCCAUCACCUUCGGUUUGGGAGUCAUCUUCAUGUCUGUUAUUUUAGUCGUUUUUGCUGCAUAUAAAUGGAAACAAAACAAAAACAGAAACAAAGAGAGGGAGCACCUUAAGACAACUGAGAAGAAUUCAAUCAAGGCUUUCCAUACAGGACAAAGAGACAAUGAGACCAAGAAUUUGGAGGAUGAAAUUGAUGAAAUUCAGCCUCUCCGAGACCAGAAUCAGAGCAUGGAGAACGAGCUGCAGACCUUGAAGAGAGAGCUGGAGACCAACAAAAAACAGUUGGAGGAUAAAAUAGAUGAAAUGCAGCAUCUCCGAGACCAGAAUCAGAGCAUGGAGAAUGAGCUGCAGACCUUGACGAGAGAGCUGGAGACCAACAAAAAACAGUCAGCUGACAAGGCCAGGGGGCAGACCUUUGAGGAGCUUAAGAACACCCAGUUUGAACUGGAGAAAAAGACUGCGGAGAUCAGGAACCUGCGGAGAGAGUUUGAUGACAGACUCAGGGAAGAGAAUCAGAGUAAAGAGAAAUGCCUGCAGACCCUGAAGGAGGAGCUGGAGAGCAAGAACAAGGAGCUUUGUGAGUCCAAGCUUCAGUUCGAAUCUCUCAUGAAGAAGAAUCAGGAGUUUGAGAGAAAGCUGACUGAACUUAGAGAGCUGCACAAGCAGGUGUUAAAGAAGAUGGUCGAGGAUGAGCAGCAGAGGACGGAGGAAGUACAAAAGGAAGUGGAGACCCUGAAGAUGGAGCUGGAGAAGAAGAAGGACGAGCAGAAAAGCCAAGCAGGGGAGUCAGAUGUUCAGAAAUCUCUGAUAGUAUGUGACAGCUCUGGAGAAGAACAUUUAGUGUCAGAGGAACAGAGUAAAGCAGCGGAGAUGGCUGAAGAAUUACCAAAUGUUGCAAAAGAAGUUGUGAACUGACAAUCUGUACAACAAGCAGAAUCCAGUGAUUUGUUUGAUUUGGAGCUAUUAUGUACAUAUUCAGUGCAAAAGAAGUAGUGUGAUGCAGUUUGGGAAGUUUAAAUUGUUUGAUGACUGACUGCACUAAAAGUACAUAAACAAUUCUGAAAAAAAAAUAAAAACAUACUUGUAUUUAUACCUUAAACAGCCUUUUAAUAUAUAUGACUAUAAUAUAAUAUUCAUCACUGCUAUUUUUAAUUGCCUUACUCUAUGUUGUUACUGUAACAGUUUAAUAAAAUAAUUACUUCUGUG